This 311-nucleotide unclassified non-coding RNA is filed under the name Hevea brasiliensis (rubber tree). Lineage: Eukaryota; Viridiplantae; Streptophyta; Magnoliopsida; Malpighiales; Euphorbiaceae. The record is from RNAcentral.
GGGCUGGGCCAGGGGCUGGGGUUGGAGGACCUGGCCGGCGUGUUCUUCACUGACGGGACGGAGACGGCUCCGUUACGCGGAGUUGAUGGUCGUAAGGGCGUUUGGUUGGGAUUGCCGGUGGCCACUAUGGUGGUUGUUGCGUCAUUCUCGUUCGUUGGAUUAGUCUUACCGUAACACUGCCCCAUCUUGCAAUACUGCUCCCCUGCUGUAUCUGAUCAGCACUCAAAGUCUAGACAUCGGACGGUGCAAAAGAUUUUCUCAUGGAUCUGACAACCAUCGGAGAGAAAACAAACGAGAGAGAGAGAACAGAG